Molecule: long non-coding RNA, 4583 nt
Filed under: Zostera marina
Lineage: Eukaryota; Viridiplantae; Streptophyta; Magnoliopsida; Alismatales; Zosteraceae
Description: long non-coding RNA (ZMAR_LNC001308)
Source: RNAcentral
AAGGUAAUUAUAUAUAUAGAAAACGAUUUUCGUGAGAUAUCAUCAAUGGGAUAUUUUAUGAGGUUUUAAUCUCGCUAUUUACGUAAUUUUUAUUUACAUAAUCUAAGAUGAUAUAUUAUACAAGCUUUUUCAGACGAUCAAGCGGCCUUCAUGCGCUAGGCGGGUUAGGCGGAUCCGGUUGGAUCCGCUAACCCAUUUACCCAAUAAAUUAAAUGAAAAAUGAGGAAAUACGGUAGGUUUUAAAACUCCCCUCAUUUUUCUCCAAUUUUCUUCUCCUUUCUUUCAAAUUUGCAGCCACCCUCCCACCUCAUUUUCAGGCCCUUUCCUCCACCUCCGACCACCUCCACCUCCGACGACUGGCUAGGACAUACGGCGACAACCUUUGGCGAACCUCGAACGUGACUCCGACGAACUCCGGCGAACACAUUUAUGCGACGUCUAGGCUCUCUAACCGUUCAUGCGACUAGAUCCAUCUCAUGAACGUCGACUGGCCGCAUGUAAAGGCUUGAUAUUAUGUAACUAUGGAAUAACUAAUAUUAGAUAAGCUCUUUUCUAUUUCAAAGUAUAUAAUUAAUGGUUUUAAUUUGAAUUUGUGUUUUUUGAAACGUAGAUCGGAUUCACAACCGAAGGGAAAGAAGAAUCACAUAUCAAGAUCGAGAACCCUAAUGUGGUUGAGAUGGUUCAAAAAUGGUACCUUGGAGGAGAACGAGCUAUCUCUCCGACAACCAUCACUUCACUCACCGAGACGUUUGCCGGAAUGCUCCAGUAGUAUUCUUAAUAAAACUAUUUUGUUUUCCUAAAUAAUAAAUAGUGUUCUUAAUAAAACUAUUUUGUCUUCCUAAAUAAUGAAUAGUGUUCUUAAUAAAACUAUUUUGAUUGAUCAAUAAGUAAUAAAUGGAUAGACAAAUGAAUAUUAUUAAUAAUAUUGUUGCAAUAAAUGAAGUUUCAUUUGCUGAAUAAUUGGAUUGUAUAUUAUUUGUUGCAAUAAAUAAAAUGAUUAUGACACUGAAAUGGAAAUUGCACUCUCAGCGUCAACCAAUGAAUGCCGACAAUUAGGGCAAGAGGAGAUGAAGGAGAGCCAGGUAUCUACACAAUGACGGUGGAAACCGUGGUUGCACUCCGGCAGAAUACGAAUUAUAUCACCAUUUUCGAAAUCUCCAAGACAUAUUGCGCAAGUAUCAAUGGUCGGCAGAAUGUCUGCAUCAAAACUAAAUACUUUCACAGGGAUCUUCCUCAAUAUUUGCUCAUCUAACCUGGUUUCGACGACCCUCAUGGUUGUCUGUUCUGGGGUCCGACGUCGGAAAUUAAUUAUUCUAUGCCAAUAUCGGGUCACCAGGCAAACGAUGAAAUGGAAUGUAAAUGUAACAACUAUGAAGAAUGAUACUACUUCCAAGAUAGACAACAAGAGUUUUUUUGUUGUUAGAUCUCCGUAAGAACUGGAAUGAUCUAUAUAUUGCGGUGGUACCGAUGAUAUCGACGACAUGUAUGCAGAAGAGUCCGAUAGAUAACCUCUGGCAGCAUCGAUGGAAUUCGAAUUCAUAUUGGUUUAAUAUUCUUUCUGCAAAUAAGAGGAAAAUAUAUAAAGUAUGAAAGAGGACUAGAUCCGGAUAUUUUCAUGAAUCUGACCUAGCCUGAGUCCGAAUCUAGGUAUUUUCCUUAUGGACACAAACUUAGUCCAGACCGGAAUCCGGAUCAAUCUAGACCGGACCCAUUUAUAUCAAAGGAUACAUGUUUCAAUUUAAAAAGACGAGUGAAAAUUUAUUUUAAUAUACUUGAAAUUAAUUCAACUUACAAUAAACAAAUAUGUUAAAUCACCCUUCACUUUUUAGAAGAAUUCCCCUUUUUGUUGCCGCUUGCUUAGUGUCAACAAAUCGUUCGCGCGCAAUAUGGGGUAUGCUACAAUUCCAGAAUUCAGUGAGGGAUCGCUUGGUGGAAGUCGAUCGAUAUAAAGAAAAGGAACUUGAUAAGCUCGAUCACCGACUUCUUCCAAUUCAAAUCCAAUCUAUACCACCAAAGUAAUUAAGUAUAUAUAGGAAAUGAUAUUCUCGUGAAAUCAAUAUCAUCCUCAGGUAUCCUUUGAGAUAUCAUCCAUGUGAUAUCAUCCGUGAAACAUUAUCCAUCAGUUUUUUUUUGUCUUUUGAAAAUCACAUCGCAAGGUCACGUACAUCAAAUAUCUAGUUUUUGAUAUUUCGUCUUAAAUUAGUCAUUUACUUUAAUUAGGCGAACUAAAUAUUAAUCACAUAUAUGAAAGUUGUCGAUGGUUUAAAUAAGAUUCUAAUCUCGCUGUGUGUGUAAUUUCCAUUUACGUAAUUAAUAUUUGGAAAAGAUGAAUCACAUAUCCAGAUUGAGAACUCUAAUGUGGCUGAGAUGAUUCAAAAAUGAUACCUUGGAGGAGAGCGCACGAGCUAUCUCUCUGACAACCAUCAAACAUUAGGAUAAAACCUUAGGUAUAAAUGGUUUUUUCUACCGACUGAUCACAUUCCCUCUCUGCUUGCUCUUGAUCUAUUCUUCAGGAACCCUAGCUUUGCUCUCAGCAUCUUGUUCAAAUUUUGUUCUUUUUUUUAUCUUCACUCAUUGUUCGUAUCAAUAAUAAAACUAAAUCCUAAAACUUUGGCUCUGCGCAAAACCGACCAAUAUGUGUGUCAUUCCUAUUUUCCCACCUCCUUCUAUCGCUAGUAGAUCUGGAAAUCAACAUAGGGUUUACGAAAUCUUCAAUGCACAACGUAAAAAUGAUUAUGAAACUGAGAUGGAAAUCGUUUAAAAUUAUAGUGUUUGAUUUGUUCGUUAAAAAACAAACCAAAUCGAAUACCUUAAGCUCGAUUCGUUUAAUAUUUAAUUAUUUAAAUAUGCAUUUUAAAUUUUAAUGUAUUUAUUGUGUUAAAAUACAUUUCACUAAUCACACUUAUUAAUCACUUUUAGAUAUAUUGUAUUAUUAUUUUUGUUUAAUAUUAAUUUAGCUUCAGCCCCAGUACUUAUUGGCCCAUUAGCUGUAUGUAUAAAUUGUAAACUUGAUCUAUUAUUUUCUAAACAAGUUGUUUAUUCCAAUCGUUUGGCAUCCCGUCGAUUCACCCAAAACCCAGGGUUUGCACUUAGGAUUUGCUCUCAUCUCUGAUCGCCACUCCGUGCUUCUCACGAUCCUCUUCUACAUUUGCUUGAAUCGAAUCUAAACUUCAUCAUGGUAUCAGAGCGUGAGCACUCUGUGAUUUUAUAAUAAUAUUUUGCUGUCUUUUCAUGCCAUCUUCUGUUGCGACGGCUUCACUGUGCUAUCUUCUUUACCUGAAGGAAAAUCCCUGCAGCUCGUCGGCCAAAGAGUCCAUUCGAAUUAGCUAACGAUGCAAAAGAGUCCAUUCGAAUUUUACAGGAAAUGAUUCGAUUCUUGUGAGAUUGAAGUAAUAUCUGUUUGGUUUGGUUUUAAUUAAUUGUUAGGUAUCACCGACAUCGAAAUUCAUUUCCUUCAAAUUAAAUUAAUGAAAUUUGAGUGUACUUGGAGAAAGACCAAAUUAUGAAAUACUUGGAUCAGUGGAGGGGUAAGACUAAGAAGGAGCUCUCUGGAUAUGAGCUUUUUUAUGAGGCUAUCGUCGCGUGUAAGUGAACUCGAUCGAUCGACCUAAUUAUGUAAUUAAUACUUAAUUCUAUGAUUUAAAUAUUGUGUUAAUUUUAGGUUCUUUGGAGAAGGCGUUGAAGGUUGUUGUGAUUAAGGAGAUCGAGGGUUCGCAAUAUGGGGUACAACUCCAGAAUUCAGUGAGAGGUCGCUUGGUGGAAGUCGACUGGUAUGAAGAAGAGGAACUUGAUAAGCUCACCGACUUCUUCCAAUCCAAAUACAUGAAAAAAGAUUCGGUCAUUCCGUUUUCAUUUCACGGACCAACUAAAACGGCCAAGGUAAUAUAUAUAUAGGAAACGAUUCUUGUGUGAUUUUAUCCAUAAGAUAUUUUAUAAGGUUUUAAUUUCGUUGUGUACGUAAUUUUCAUUUACAUAAUCUAAGAUGAUAUAAUAUUAUGCAAACUUUUUCAGGCGAUCAAAUGGCCUAGCGCAUGUAGGCUUCAUGCGCUAAGUGGGUUAGGCGGAUCCGAUUACCCAAUAAAUUAAAUAAAAAAAAAGAGGAAAUAGGGUUUUAAAAUUAUAACCUCUCAUUUUUCUCCCAUUUUCUUCUCCUUUCUUUCAAAUUUGCAGUUACCCUCCCACCUCUUUUUCAGGCCCUUUCCUCCAUCUCCGACCACCUCCGGCGACCGACUAGGACAGACGGCGACCACCUUCAGCGAACCUCGAAUGUGACUCCGACGAACACAUUUAUGCGGCGUAUAGGCUCCUUAAGCAUUCGUGCUACUAGAUCCAUCUCAUGAACGUCUGGCCGCAUGUAAAAGCUUGAUAUUAUGUAACUCUGGAAUACCUAAUAUUAGAUAAGCUCUUUUCUAUUUCAAAGUAUAUAAUUAAUGGUUUUAAUUUGAAUUUGAGUUUUUUGAAACGUAGAUCGGAUUCACAACCGAAGAGAAAGAAGAAUCAUAAUUUGGUUGAGAUGGUUCAAAAAUGGUACCUUGGAGGAGAACGAGCUAUAUCUCCGACAACCAUCACUUCACUCAUCGAGA